RNAcentral lists this long non-coding RNA (351 nucleotides) under Selaginella moellendorffii. RNAcentral describes it as "long non-coding RNA (SMOE_LNC000410)". Lineage: Eukaryota; Viridiplantae; Streptophyta; Lycopodiopsida; Selaginellales; Selaginellaceae. The record is from RNAcentral.
AAGGUUUAAACCUCUCUUUAUAUACAAGAAGUAUGGUAACAGAUUCUCAAAGCAACACAAGAAUUAUAAAACAUUUUGGAGUUCAAAGUUCAAAACUAGGAGUAGAGAUAUUCUCCAUAGAUUCGAAAGAGUUAAGGUUUAGCCACUACUCUAGCUUGGAAAUGCAUUUAGUAUCGAGGAUGGCACAAAUGGGCCUCCCGUUAAACACCAUCCUGAUUCACUCUCUCUCCGCUUACCUGGCGAUGACGUGGCAUCAGCCCUCCUUUUUGUUUUAUCUCCAGCGCACUCCCUCUCCCGUCCGUCGCCGCUGCACACUCCCGCCCGCGGCUAUCGCCCGCCCGCGGCUCCCGC